Molecule: non-coding RNA, 117 nt
Organism: Aedes aegypti (yellow fever mosquito)
Lineage: Eukaryota; Metazoa; Arthropoda; Insecta; Diptera; Culicidae
Source: Rfam
UGCCCAGCAACUCCUAUCCCUACCUCCUCGUGGUACUGGCCGGGGUACGAGUAACCUUGGGGAAGAUCGGGUAACCAACCCCCGGUGGGAACUUUGGUCGUAUGCUGACAGGGAAGA